GGGUUGUGAGGUUAAGCGACUAAGCGUACACGGUGGAUGCCCUGGCAGUCAGAGGCGAUGAAGGACGUGCUAAUCUGCGAAAAGCGUCGGUAAGGUGAUAUGAACCGUUAUAACCGGCGAUGUCCGAAUGGGGAAACCCAGUGCAAUUCGUUGCACUAUCGUUAACUGAAUACAUAGGUUAACGAGGCGAACCGGGGGAACUGAAACAUCUAAGUACCCCGAGGAAAAGAAAUCAACCGAGAUUCCCCCAGUAGCGGCGAGCGAACGGGGAGCAGCCCAGAGUCUGAAUCAGCUUGUGUGUUAGUGGAACGGUCUGGAAAGUCCGACGGUACAGGGUGAUAGUCCCGUACACCAAAAUGCACAGGUUGUGAACUCGAAGAGUAGGGCGGGACACGUGGUAUCCUGUCUGAAUAUGGGGGGACCAUCCUCCAAGGCUAAAUACUCCUGACUGACCGAUAGUGAACCAGUACCGUGAGGGAAAGGCGAAAAGAACCCCGGCGAGGGGAGUGAAAAA
RNAcentral lists this ribosomal RNA (514 nucleotides) under Klebsiella pneumoniae. RNAcentral's name for it is "partial 23S ribosomal RNA". It matches the Rfam family "Bacterial large subunit ribosomal RNA", at positions 1 to 545 of the family's 2925-position model. Lineage: Bacteria; Pseudomonadati; Pseudomonadota; Gammaproteobacteria; Enterobacterales; Enterobacteriaceae. The record is from RNAcentral.